RNAcentral lists this ribosomal RNA (655 nucleotides) under unidentified microorganism. RNAcentral describes it as "bacterial SSU rRNA". It matches the Rfam family "Bacterial small subunit ribosomal RNA", at positions 49 to 749 of the family's 1533-position model. The record is from RNAcentral.
CUACACAUGCAGUCGAACGAAGACCUUCGGGUCUUAGUGGCGCACGGGUGCGUAACGCGUGGGAAUCUGCCCUUGGGUUCGGAAUAACAGUUAGAAAUGACUGCUAAUACCGGAUGAUGUCUUCGGACCAAAGAUUUAUCGCCCAAGGAUGAGCCCGCGUAGGAUUAGGUAGUUGGUGGGGUAAAGGCCUACCAAGCCGACGAUCCUUAGCUGGUCUGAGAGGAUGAUCAGCCACACUGGGACUGAGACACGGCCCAGACUCCUACGGGAGGCAGCAGUGGGGAAUAUUGGACAAUGGGGGAAACCCUGAUCCAGCAAUGCCGCGUGAGUGAUGAAGGCCUUAGGGUCGUAAAGCUCUUUUACCAGGGAUGAUAAUGACAGUACCUGGAGAAUAAGCUCCGGCUAACUCCGUGCCAGCAGCCGCGGUAAUACGGAGGGAGCUAGCGUUGUUCGGAAUUACUGGGCGUAAAGCGCACGUAGGCGGUUAUUCAAGUCAGAGGUGAAAGCCCGGGGCUCAACCCCGGAACUGCCUUUGAAACUAGAUGACUGGAAUCUUGGAGAGGUCAGUGGAAUUCCGAGUGUAGAGGUGAAAUUCGUAGAUAUUCGGAAGAACACCAGUGGCGAAGGCGACUGACUGGACAAGUAUUGACGCUGA